UUGCAGUUAAAAAGCUCGUAGUUGGAUUUCGGGAUGGGCCAGUCGGUCUGCCGUGAGGUAAGUUACUGGCUGGUCUGUUCUUCCUCGCAAAGAAUGCGUGUGCUCUUUACUGAGUGGGCGUAGGAUUUGCGACGUUUACUUUGAAAAAAUUAGAGUGUUCAAAGCAGGCUUACCGCUUGAAUACAUGAGCAUGGAAUAAUGGAAUAGGACUUUGGUCUUAUUUUGUUGGUUUCUAAGACUGAGGUAAUGAUUAAGAGGGACAGUUGGGGGCAUUCGUAUUUCGUUGUCAGAGGUGAGAUUCUUGGAUUUACGAAAGACGAACAACUGCGAAAGCAUUUGCCAAGAAUGUUUUCAUUAAUCAAGAACGAAAGUUAGAGGCUCGAAGACGAUCAGAUACCGUCCUAGUUCUAACCAUAAACGAUGCCGACUAGGGAUCAGCGAGCGUUAUUGUAUGACCUCGUUGGCACCUUAUGGGAAACCAAAGUUUUUGGGUUCCGGGGGAAGUAUGGUUGCAAAGCUGAAACUUAAAGGAAUUGACGGAAGGGCACCACCAGGAGUGGAGCCUGCGGCUUAAUUUGACUCAACACCGGGAAACUCACCAGGUCCAGACAUAGUUAAGGAUUGACAG
Molecule: ribosomal RNA, 628 nt
Filed under: uncultured marine eukaryote
Lineage: Eukaryota
Description: SSU rRNA
Rfam family: Eukaryotic small subunit ribosomal RNA
Source: RNAcentral